This 483-nucleotide ribosomal RNA is filed under the name uncultured bacterium. RNAcentral's name for it is "partial 16S ribosomal RNA". It matches the Rfam family "Bacterial small subunit ribosomal RNA", at positions 30 to 506 of the family's 1533-position model. The record is from RNAcentral.
AUUGAACGCUGGCGGCAGGCCUAACACAUGCAAGUCGAGCGGAUGAAGGGAGCUUGCUCCUGGAUUCAGCGGCGGACGGGUGAGUAAUGCCUAGGAAUCUGCCUGGUAGUGGGGGAUAACGUCCGGAAACGGGCGCUAAUACCGCAUACGUCCUGAGGGAGAAAGUGGGGGAUCUUCGGACCUCACGCUAUCAGAUGAGCCUAGGUCGGAUUAGCUAGUUGGUGGGGUAAAGGCCUACCAAGGCGACGAUCCGUAACUGGUCUGAGAGGAUGAUCAGUCACAAUAGAACUGAGACACGGUCCAGACUCCUACGGGAGGCAGCAGGGGGGAAUUUUGGAAAAUGGGCGAAAGCCUGAACCAGCCAUGCCGGGGGUGUGAAGAAGGUCUUCGGAUUGUAAAGCAUUUUAAGUUGGGAGGAAGGGCAGUAAGUUAAUACCUUGCUGUUUUGACGUUACCAACAGAAUAAGCACCGGCUAACUUCGU